GACGAACGCUGGCGGCGUGCCUAACACAUGCAAGUCGAGCGGGGUUGAAGCGAGGGGUAACUCGAGUUUCUACCUAGCGGCGGACGGGUGAGUAACGCGUGGGCAACCUGCCUCAAGGACUGGGAUAACAGCUCGAAAGGGCUGCUAAUACCGGAUAAGCCUAUGGCCUCGCAUGGGGCCAUGAGCAAAGGGGAAACCCGCCUUGAGAUGGGCCCGCGUCCCAUCAGCUAGUUGGUGAGGUGAAGGCUCACCAAGGCGACGACGGGUAGCCGGCCUGAGAGGGUGACCGGCCACACUGGGACUGAGACACGGCCCAGACUCCUACGGGGGGCAGCAGUGGGGAAUCUUGCACAAUGGGCGAAAGCCUGAUGCAGCGACGCCGCGUGAGCGAAGAAGGCCUUCGGGUCGUAAAGCUCUGUCUGGAGGGACGAAGGAAGUGGACGGUACCGUCCGGAGGAACGCCGACGGCUAACUACGGUCGCCGACGCAGCCGACGGUAAAUCACGUGGUACU
Molecule: ribosomal RNA, 513 nt
Filed under: uncultured bacterium
Lineage: Bacteria
Description: bacterial SSU rRNA
Rfam family: Bacterial small subunit ribosomal RNA
Source: RNAcentral